GGGUCAGUAGGUUGGUCAUGCCACUUGUACUGGUCUCACUGAUUCCUCCUUCCUGAUGAACUGUAAUGCCAUUAAUUUGGUGUUGCAGGGAAUCUGGACUGUUACUUUGAAAAAAUUAGAGUGUUUAAAGCAGGCCUACGCUUGAAUACAUUAGCAUGGAAUAAUGAAAUAGGACGUUCGAUCCUAUUUUGUUGGUUUCUAGGAUUGACGUA
This 212-nucleotide ribosomal RNA is filed under the name Campeiostachys nutans. RNAcentral's name for it is "Elymus nutans partial small subunit ribosomal RNA". The stretch from base 36 to 212 matches the Rfam family "Eukaryotic small subunit ribosomal RNA", at positions 686 to 864 of the family's 1831-position model. Lineage: Eukaryota; Viridiplantae; Streptophyta; Magnoliopsida; Poales; Poaceae. The record is from RNAcentral.